UCAAGUGAAUAAGUGCAUCAGGCGGAUGCCUUGGCGAUGAUAGGCGACGAAGGACGUGUAAGCCUGCGAAAAGCGCGGGGGAGCUGGCAAUAAAGCUAUGAUUCCGCGAUGUCCGAAUGGGGAAACCCACUGCAUUCUGUGCAGUAUCCUAAGUUGAAUACAUAGGCUUAGAGAAGCGAACCCGGAGAACUGAACCAUCUAAGUACCCGGAGGAAAAGAAAUCAACCGAGAUUCCGCAAGUAGUGGCGAGCGAACGCGGAGGAGCCUGUACGUAAUAACUGUCGAGAUAGAAGAACAAGCUGGGAAGCUUGACCAUAGCGGGUGACAGUCCCGUAUUCGAAAUCUCAACAGCGGUACUAAGCGUACGAAAAGUAGGGCGGGACACGUGAAAUCCUGUCUGAAUAUGGGGGGACCAUCCUCCAAGGCUAAAUACUCAUCAUCGACCGAUAGUGAACCAGUACCGUGAGGGAAAGGCGAAAAGAACCCCGGGAGGGGAGUGAAACAGAACCUGAAACCUGAUGCAUACAAACAGUGGGAGCGCCCUAGUGGUGUGACUGCGUACCUUUUGUAUAAUGGGUCAACGACUUACAUUCAGUAGCGAGCUUAACCGGAUAGGGGAGGCGUAGGGAAACCGAGUCUUAAUAGGGCGAUGAGUUGCUGGGUGUAGACCCGAAACCGAGUGAUCUAUCCAUGGUCAGGUUGAAGGUGCCGUAACCAGGUACUGGAGGACCGAACCCACGCAUGUUGCAAAAUGCGGGGAUGAGCUGUGGGUAGGGGUGAAAGGCUAAACAAACUCGGAGAUAGCUGGUUCUCCCCGAAAACUAUUUAGGUAGUGCCUCGAGCAAGACACUGAUGGGGGUAAAGCACUGUUAUGGCUAGGGGGUUAUUGCAACUUACCAACCCAUGGCAAACUCAGAAUACCAUCAAGUGGUUCCUCGGGAGACAGACAGCGGGUGCUAACGUCCGUUGUCAAGAGGGAAACAACCCAGACCGCCGGCUAAGGUCCCAAAUGAUAGAUUAAGUGGUAAACGAAGUGGGAAGGCACAGACAGCCAGGAUGUUGGCUUAGAAGCAGCCAUCAUUUAAAGAAAGCGUAAUAGCUCACUGGUCGAGUCGUCCUGCGCGGAAGAUGUAACGGGGCUCAAAUCUAUAACCGAAGCUGCGGAUGCCGGUUUACCGGCAUGGUAGGGGAGCGUUCUGUAGGCUGAUGAAGGUGCAUUGUAAAGUGUGCUGGAGGUAUCAGAAGUGCGAAUGUUGACAUGAGUAGCGAUAAAGCGGGUGAAAAGCCCGCUCGCCGAAAGCCCAAGGUUUCCUANCGCAACGUUCAUCGGCGUAGGGUAAGUCGGCCCCUAAGGCGAGGCAGAAAUGCGUAGUCGAUGGGAAACAGGUUAAUAUUCCUGUACUUGAUUCAAAUGCGAUGUGGGGACGGAGAAGGUUAGGUUGGCAAGCUGUUGGAAUAGCUUGUUUAAGCCGGUAGGUGGAAGACUUAGGCAAAUCCGGGUUUUCUUAACACCGAGAAGUGAUGACGAGUGUCUACGGACACGAAGCAACCGAUACCACGCUUCCAGGAAAAGCCACUAAGCUUCAGUUUGAAUCGAACCGUACCGCAAACCGACACAGGUGGGCAGGAUGAGAAUUCUAAGGCGCUUGAGAGAACUCGGGAGAAGGAACUCGGCAAAUUGAUACCGUAACUUCGGGAGAAGGUAUGCCCUCUAAGGUUAAGGACUUGCUCCGUAAGCCCCGGAGGGUCGCAGAGAAUAGGUGGCUGCGACUGUUUAUUAAAAACACAGCACUCUGCCAACACGAAAGUGGACGUAUAGGGUGUGACGCCUGCCCGGUGCCGGAAGGUUAAUUGAAGAUGUGCAAGCAUCGGAUCGAAGCCCCGGUAAACGGCGGCCGUAACUAUAACGGUCCUAAGGUAGCGAAAUUCCUUGUCGGGUAAGUUCCGACCCGCACGAAUGGCGUAACGAUGGCCACACUGUCUCCUCCCGAGACUCAGCGAAGUUGAAGUGGUUGUGAAGAUGCAAUCUACCCGCUGCUAGACGGAAAGACCCCGUGAACCUUUACUGUAGCUUUGCAUUGGACUUUGAAGUCACUUGUGUAGGAUAGGUGGGAGGCUUGGAAGCAGAGACGCCAGUCUCUGUGGAGUUGCCCUGGACAUACCGCCCUGGUGUCUUUGAGGUUCUAACCCAGACCCGUCAUCCGGGUCGGGGACCGUGCAUGGUAGGCAGUUUGACUGGGGCGGUCUCCUCCCAAAGCGUAACGGAGGAGUUCGAAGGUUACCUAGGUCCGGUCGGAAAUCGGACUGAUAGUGCAAUGGCAAAAGGUAGCUUAACUGCGAGACCGACAAGUCGGGCAGGUGCGAAAGCAGGACAUAGUGAUCCGGUGGUUCUGUAUGGAAGGGCCAUCGCUCAACGGAUAAAAGGUACUCCGGGGAUAACAGGCUGAUCCGCCCAAGAGUCAA
Molecule: ribosomal RNA, 2463 nt
Filed under: Neisseria gonorrhoeae
Lineage: Bacteria; Pseudomonadati; Pseudomonadota; Betaproteobacteria; Neisseriales; Neisseriaceae
Description: bacterial LSU rRNA
Rfam family: Bacterial large subunit ribosomal RNA
Source: RNAcentral